Molecule: transfer RNA, 99 nt
Filed under: Streptomyces nigrescens
Lineage: Bacteria; Bacillati; Actinomycetota; Actinomycetes; Kitasatosporales; Streptomycetaceae
Description: tRNA-Gly
Source: RNAcentral
GCGGCGGCAGUUCGCGGGACUCAGAGCGCGCCCGGUGCCGCCGGGCGCGGUCCGUUCGGGGGACCGCCGGCGGACGGUUCACCGGCCGCCUCGCCGUUC